CCUAAGCCACCGCCGGGUGGCAAACGCGUUUGCCCCGCAUCGUUAGGCCUUUGAAGAUGCGGCGGGCAGGCGCAUUUUUUUGU
Molecule: non-coding RNA, 83 nt
Filed under: unclassified sequences
Source: RNAcentral